This 83-nucleotide transfer RNA is filed under the name Herbinix luporum. It matches the Rfam family "tRNA". From Rfam's summary of the family: Transfer RNA (tRNA) molecules are approximately 80 nucleotides in length. The record is from Rfam by way of RNAcentral. RNAcentral also lists the same sequence under 2 other names. Lineage: Bacteria; Bacillati; Bacillota; Clostridia; Lachnospirales; Lachnospiraceae.
GCGGAUGUGGCGGAAUGGCAGACGCAGUAGACUCAAAAUCUACCGAGCUAACACUCGUGAGGGUUCGAGUCCCUCCAUCCGCA